Molecule: ribosomal RNA, 426 nt
Filed under: Salmonella enterica
Lineage: Bacteria; Pseudomonadati; Pseudomonadota; Gammaproteobacteria; Enterobacterales; Enterobacteriaceae
Also listed under: 2 other names
Description: partial 23S ribosomal RNA
Rfam family: Bacterial large subunit ribosomal RNA
Source: RNAcentral
AGACCCGAAACCCGGUGAUCUAGCCAUGGGCAGGUUGAAGGUUGGGUAACACUAACUGGAGGACCGAACCGACUAAUGUUGAAAAAUUAGCGGAUGACCUGUGGCUGGGGGUGAAAGGCCAAUCAAACCGGGAGAUAGCUGGUUCUCCCCGAAAGCUAUUUAGGUAGCGCCUCGUGAAUUCAUCUCCGGGGGUAGAGCACUGUUUCGGCUAGGGGGCCAUCCCGGCUUACCAACCCGAUGCAAACUGCGAAUACCGGAGAAUGUUAUCACGGGAGACACACGGCGGGUGCUAACGUCCGUCGUGAAGAGGGAAACAACCCAGACCGCCAGCUAAGGUCCCAAAGUCAUGGUUAAGUGGGAAACGAUGUGGGAAGGCCCAGACAGCCAGGAUGUUGGCUUAGAAGCAGCCAUCAUUUAAAGAAAGCG